This 253-nucleotide ribosomal RNA is filed under the name uncultured bacterium. RNAcentral's name for it is "partial 16S ribosomal RNA". It matches the Rfam family "Bacterial small subunit ribosomal RNA", at positions 524 to 776 of the family's 1533-position model. The record is from RNAcentral.
UACGGAGGGUGCGAGCGUUGCUCGGAAUUACUGGGCGUAAAGCGGACGCAGGCGGCUUGUCAGGUCGUGCGUGAAAUCCCGGAGCUCAACUCCGGAAUUGCGCUCGAAACCGACUCGCUCGAGUGCGGGAGAGGGAAGCGGAAUUCCUGGUGUAGAGGUGAAAUUCGUAGAUAUCAGGAGGAACACCGGUGGCGAAAGCGGCUUCCUGGACCAGUACCGACGUUCAGGCACGAAAGCGUGGGGAGCAAACAGG